This 77-nucleotide transfer RNA is filed under the name Acidobacteriota bacterium. Its description in RNAcentral is "Acidobacteria bacterium tRNA-Ile". It matches the Rfam family "tRNA". From Rfam's summary of the family: Transfer RNA (tRNA) molecules are approximately 80 nucleotides in length. Their secondary structure includes four short double-helical elements and three loops (D, anti-codon, and T loops). The record is from RNAcentral. Lineage: Bacteria; Pseudomonadati; Acidobacteriota.
GGGACUGUAGCUCAGGUGGCUAGAGCGCGCCCCUGAUAAGGGCGAGGUCGGUGGUUCAAGUCCACCCAGGCCCACCA